Molecule: small RNA, 43 nt
Filed under: Sinorhizobium meliloti 2011
Lineage: Bacteria; Pseudomonadati; Pseudomonadota; Alphaproteobacteria; Hyphomicrobiales; Rhizobiaceae
Description: putative ncRNA
Source: RNAcentral
CGCGGCCGGGCGCCAACACUGGAGGCCCGGCCUGAUAGUCUAU